UACGUAGGCAGCAAGCGUUGUUCGGAAUUACUGGGCGUAAAGAGUGUGUAGGCGGCCACUUAAGUCCUGCGUGAAAUCUUGCGGCUCAACCGCAAGCGGUCGUGGGAAACUGGGUGGCUAGAGUGCGGGAGAGGAGAGUGGAAUUCCUGGUGUAGCGGUGGAAUGCGCAGAUAUCAGGAAGAACACCCGUGGCGAAGGCGGCUCUCUGGAACGCAACUGACGCUGAGACGCGAAAGCGUGGGGAGCAAACAGGAUUA
This 257-nucleotide ribosomal RNA is filed under the name uncultured bacterium. Its description in RNAcentral is "partial 16S ribosomal RNA". It matches the Rfam family "Bacterial small subunit ribosomal RNA", at positions 524 to 780 of the family's 1533-position model. The record is from RNAcentral.